This 164-nucleotide ribosomal RNA is filed under the name uncultured bacterium. Its description in RNAcentral is "partial 16S rRNA". It matches the Rfam family "Bacterial small subunit ribosomal RNA", at positions 355 to 511 of the family's 1533-position model. The record is from RNAcentral.
UAGGGAAUCUUCCACAAUGGACGCAAGUCUGAUGGAGCAACGCCGCGUGAGUGAAGAAGGUCUUCGGAUCGUAAAACUCUGUUGUUAGAGAAGAACAUGCGAGAGAGUAACUGUUCUUGUAUUGACGGUAUCUAACCAGAAAGCCACGGCUAACUACGUCGCAG